CGCUGGCGGCAGGCCUAACACAUGCAAGUCGAACGGAUCCUUUCGGGAUUAGUGGCGGACGGGUGAGUAACACGUGGGAACGUGCCCUUUGGUUCGGAACAACUCAGGGAAACUUGAGCUAAUACCGGAUAAGCCUUUCGAGGGAAAGAUUUAUCGCCAUUGGAGCGGCCCGCGUAGGAUUAGCUAGUUGGUGGGGUAAAGGCCCACCAAGGCUACGAUCCUUAGCUGGUCUGAGAGGAUGAUCAGCCACAUUGGGACUGAGACACGGCCCAAACUCCUACGGGAGGCAGCAGUGGGGAAUCUUGCGCAAUGGGCGAAAGCCUGACGCAGCCAUGCCGCGUGAAUGAUGAAGGUCUUAGGAUUGUAAAAUUCUUUCACCGGGGACGAUAAUGACGGUACCCGGAGAAGAAGCCCCAGCUAACUUCGUGCCAGCAGCCGCGGUAAUACGAAGGGGGCUAGCGUUGCUCGGAAUCACUGGGCGUAAAGCGCACGUAGGCGGGUCUUUAAGUCGGAGGUGAAAUCCUGGAGCUCAACUCCAGAACUGCCUUCGAUACUGAGGAUCUCGAGUCCGGGAGAGGUGAGUGGAACUGCGAGUGUAGAGGUGAAAUUCGUAGAUAUUCGCAAGAACACCAGUGGCGAAGGCGGCUCACUGGCCCGGUACUGACGCUGAGGUGCGAAAGCGUGGGGAGCAAACAGGAUUAGAUACCCUGGUAGUCCACGCCGUAAAAGAUGAAUGCUA
This 739-nucleotide ribosomal RNA is filed under the name uncultured bacterium. Its description in RNAcentral is "bacterial SSU rRNA". It matches the Rfam family "Bacterial small subunit ribosomal RNA", at positions 34 to 818 of the family's 1533-position model. The record is from RNAcentral.